UCCAGGGUAUCCAAGUGUACAGGGCAUCUGCCCGGUAAGCGGAACAUUGUGGGUUCGAUUCCCAUCCCUGGAC
RNAcentral lists this transfer RNA (73 nucleotides) under Cordylochernes scorpioides. RNAcentral describes it as "tRNA-Thr". It matches the Rfam family "tRNA". From Rfam's summary of the family: Transfer RNA (tRNA) molecules are approximately 80 nucleotides in length. Lineage: Eukaryota; Metazoa; Arthropoda; Arachnida; Pseudoscorpiones; Chernetidae. The record is from RNAcentral.